UACGUAGGGGGCUAGCGUUGUCCGGAUUUAUUGGGCGUAAAGAGCGUGUAGGCGGCCAAGUAGGUCUGGUGUGAAAACUCGAGGCUUAACCUCGAGAUGUCAUCGGAAACCAUUUGGCUAGAGUCCGGAAGAGGAAAGUGGAAUUCCUGGUGUAGCGGUGAAAUGCGCAGAUAUCAGGAAGAACACCAAUGGCGGAAGCAGCUUUCUGGGACGGUACUGACGCUGAGACGCGAAAGCGUGGGGAGCGAACAGG
This 253-nucleotide ribosomal RNA is filed under the name uncultured bacterium. RNAcentral describes it as "partial 16S ribosomal RNA". It matches the Rfam family "Bacterial small subunit ribosomal RNA", at positions 524 to 776 of the family's 1533-position model. The record is from RNAcentral.